AUGAACCGUUAUAACCGGCGAUACCCGAAUGGGGAAACCCAGUGUGAUUCGUCACACUAUCAUUAACUGAAUCCAUAGGUUAAUGAGGCGAACCGGGGGAACUGAAACAUCUAAGUACCCCGAGGAAAAGAAAUCAACCGAGAUUCCCCCAGUAGCGGCGAGCGAACGGGGAGGAGCCCAGAGCCUGAAUCAGCAUGUGUGUUAGUGGAAGCGUCUGGAAAGGCGCGCGAUACAGGGUGACAGCCCCGUACACAAAAGCGCAUGUGCUGUGAGCUCGAUGAGUAGGGCGGGACACGUGGUAUCCUGUCUGAAUAUGGGGGGACCAUCCUCCAAGGCUAAAUACUCCUGACUGACCGAUAGUGAACCAGUACCGUGAGGGAAAGGCGAAAAGAACCCCGGCGAGGGGAGUGAAAAAGAACCUGAAACCGUGUACGUACAAGCAGUGGGAGC
This 450-nucleotide ribosomal RNA is filed under the name Salmonella enterica. Its description in RNAcentral is "bacterial LSU rRNA". It matches the Rfam family "Bacterial large subunit ribosomal RNA", at positions 90 to 580 of the family's 2925-position model. RNAcentral also lists the same sequence under 1 other name. Lineage: Bacteria; Pseudomonadati; Pseudomonadota; Gammaproteobacteria; Enterobacterales; Enterobacteriaceae. The record is from RNAcentral.